ACGGGAGGCAGCAGUAGGGAAUAUUGCACAAUGGGGGAAACCCUGAUGCAGCAACGCCACGUGUGGGAAGAAGCAUUUCGGUGUGUAAACCACUGUCGUGAGGGAAUAAUGCUUAAUUUCGGUUAAGUUGAAUGUACCUCGAAAGGAAGCACCGGCAAACUUCGUGCCAGCAGCCGCGGUAAUACGUAGGUGGCAAGCGUUAUCCGGAUUUACUGGGUGUAAAGGGCGCGUAGGCGGGGAGACAAGUCAGGUGUGAAAUCUAUGGGCUUAACCCAUAAACUGCAUUUGAAACUGUAUCUCUUGAGUGCUGGAGAGGUAGAUGGAAUUCCUUGUGUAGCGGUGAAAUGCGUAGAUAUAAGGAAGAACACCAGUGGCGAAGGCGAUCUACUGGACAGUAACUGACGCUGAGGCGCGAAAGCGUGGGGAGCAAACAGGAUUAGAUACCCUGGUA
This is a ribosomal RNA of 451 nucleotides. It matches the Rfam family "Bacterial small subunit ribosomal RNA", at positions 341 to 792 of the family's 1533-position model.